This 844-nucleotide long non-coding RNA is filed under the name Nicotiana benthamiana. Its description in RNAcentral is "long non-coding RNA (NBEN_LNC036035)". Lineage: Eukaryota; Viridiplantae; Streptophyta; Magnoliopsida; Solanales; Solanaceae. The record is from RNAcentral.
AUGAAAAAAUAGCCAAAGCUUUAACCAAUUCAACACAAAAGGAAUAUAUUUUACACAACACUUAAGCAAAAAAAUUAUUUAUUUAUCAAAAUGCCAAAUCGGCAAAAAUUUUGGCAUGAUUACAAAUUUCAAAAAAAAAAAGAGAAAAAAGAAACUAGGCAUCAUUUCCACCGGAGCCCGAAGGGAGAGAGGGAUAUGCGUUUUCCCCAGUGGAGGAAGGCAAAUCAGCUGCCAAUUUGGGGCUUUCGUCUUCAUCUUCCUCAAUGUCCCCUUUCGGUCCCCGAAUACUCAAAAUCAGUACUCGAGAAGUCAAUUGCAACAUGCUGAGUGGGAAGAUUUUCAUGAGCAUCUAGCUCCAGUUCUCCAGUAUUGACGAUGCAAUCAUAAAUAUCGACAAGGCCCGCUUUGGACUUUUCUAAGGUUUUCCUCCUCAUAUGAUGUAUAGCCUAAGUCUUCUCUAAAACAAGGGAAUCCUCUUGGUACUGGAGCUUUGCUUUGAGUUCAAUUUCAGCCUGAACGCCAUCCCUUUCAGAUCUCAUGGCGCCAAGGCGAGAAUUAAGCCCAACAGUGUAGAUAAGUGGAUCUGAUUUUGCUCUAUGAUUCUCUUAAACCCCUUUUACAUUUUGGCCCUCUUCUCCUCGACGAACAUUGGAUUUCUCUGUUUGGAGUUCAGCUCUGCACUCAAAUUAUUUUUUUCUCCUCGAGGGAAGACUCGCACUCGGGCCUCGGCAGCAACAGGCACAACGUUAUGGAGCCCAACCAACUUAGCCUUAAUCUCUUGAAGUUGCUUGUGUAAUUGUGUCACGACCCAAAUUUCCCUCCGUUGGGUGUCUUGAUGGCACCU